RNAcentral lists this ribosomal RNA (827 nucleotides) under uncultured bacterium. RNAcentral describes it as "bacterial SSU rRNA". It matches the Rfam family "Bacterial small subunit ribosomal RNA", at positions 625 to 1452 of the family's 1533-position model. The record is from RNAcentral.
UCUGGAAACUNUCUGACUUGAGUGCAGAAGGGGAGAGUGGAAUUCCAUGUGUAGCGGUGAAAUGCGUAGAUAUAUGGAGGAACACCNGUGGCGAAAGCGGCUCUCUGNUCUGUCACUGACGCUGAGGCUCGAAAGCGUGGGUAGCGAACAGGAUUAGAUACCCUGGUAGUNCACGCCGUAAACGAUGAGUGCUAGGUGUUAGGCCCUUUCCGGGGCUUAGUGCCGGAGCUAACGCAAUAAGCACUCCGCCUGGGGAGUACGACCGCAAGGUUGAAACUCAAAGGAAUUGACGGGGGCCCGCACAAGCGGUGGAGCAUGUGGUUUAAUUCGAAGCAACGCGAAGAACCUCACCAGGUCUUGACAUCCCGAUGCUAUUCUUAGAGAUAGGAAGUUACUUCGGUACAUCGGAGACAGGUGGUGCAUGGUUGUCGUCAGCUCGUGUCGUGAGAUGUUGGGUUAAGUCCCGCAACGAGCGCAACCCUUAUUGUUAGUUGCCAUCAUUAAGUUGGGCACUCUAGCAAGACUGCCGGUAAUAAACCGGAGGAAGGUGGGGAUGACGUCAAAUCAUCAUGCCCCUUAUGACCUGGGCUACACACGUGCUACAAUGGUUGGUACAACGAGUUGCGAGUCGGUGACGGCGAGCUAAUCUCUUAAAGCCAAUCUCAGUUCGGAUUGUAGGCUGCAACUCGCCUACAUGAAGUCGGAAUCGCUAGUAAUCGCGGAUCAGCACGCCGCGGUGAAUACGUUCCCGGGCCUUGUACACACCGCCCGUCACACCACGAGAGUUUGUAACACCCGAAGUCGGUGAGGUAACCUUANGGAGCCAG